GCUUGAGUGGUCAGGACGCCCCAGUCCUGCUUCGACGAAGCCGACAGAUGUGGAAAGCCUCUGGUUUGCGGAUUUUACAACUAACGUGCAAUCUCUAAAUGAGAUUCUCAUUUCCAGAAGAGGGAAAGAGCCACUGACCGGAGUCUGGGUGGUCCCGGGUUGCUGGCACCCUGUUGGGUUGGCAUCUGAUGGCGAGUAGGGCAGCGUGGCCUUUGCCGCAUGGAGCUUCCCAUCUGCAGAGGAAGGCAACUGAGAAUCGAGUCAGUGGACAGCUCACUGCAGAAGCGCCUGGUGUUGGAAGUACUCAGUGGAGCAUUGAACGCUUCCUUCCCGGCUCCUGCCCAGGGUGUGAUGGCUGUCCUGAGCAUCGGGGUUUACUUCCUUUCCAAAGGGCUUUGCGGGACGUGGCCCAGGAGGGACUCUGGUGUCAAAUUUGGCCUCAGGAGCUCAGCUGGCCGGGGUGAUGCCUGCACCCCUGCCCACGCUUCUCAGGGAGAAUGGGCUUGCCUGCCUCGUUUCCUGCCUCCUCUCCUAGACGCUUUGUUCGGCUUUCAAGUUCUUGCACAAGCAGGUUUGUGUCGGCCACGCCCCGGGGAGGAGCCACCGGAUCACCACCGUCAGCAGCCUGUUCCCGGCGGCCUCUCUGGCUUCCCUAAAGAGGGCAGGUGGAAUUUUCUGCAAUGCUGCUGUGCACGACGUGGAUGCUAUAUGCAUGUUGCUGGGGGAAGCCACUCUGGACGCUGUGUUUUCUCUGGGACAUGCCUUCUGCCCAGGUGAGAGGGCGCUUCACUGUUUCAGGGUGCUCCCAUGGCCACCAAGGAUGGUUGGAAUUGCAGCACAGGCUGGAGACCCUGUUCAAGAUUCCUGCCCCGCCCUCAGCUUUGGGCGACAGAUAAGUAACAUGGAACAUGUGUUAAAAAAAAAAAAAAUGACUAAAUAGUCAUGUCACUGAAUCCCUCAGAGAGUGCCCAAGGCUGAAAGGCGUCAUGCAGGAAGUGUUUCCUGUUCAGUGAAUUUGAGAGUCACUGUUUAGUAACCAUUUCUUCAGCCCCUGCUAUGUGACAGGCCGCCCGUAGUUUCUGAGGUUGCAAAGGUGAACAAAACGAUGUCUGUGGCUGGAAUUCGCAGGUUGGAAUGUGCACAGAUUAGGGGAUCAUCAGUGAGCACUGGGCGAAUACGGGGCUGGGGAUGCUGGUUCCCAGGUCCUGGCCCUGCAGCAGAAGCUCAGGGUGGGUCCUGAGGGCUGCUGAAGAUGACAGAUUGUCUGUUGCUUUAUGACACACCGUGCACGUAUCACGGCUUGAAACGGCAGCCACCAGGUAGCUAGGAUUCCACAGCCUGGACUGGGCUUGGCUGAAGCCCCUCUUGUGGUCUGCCCAGUAUCACUCAUGUGGCUGCAGCCAGCUAGUCAGCGUCCUGUCUGGAACAGCUCCACCAGGGUCACAGGGCCAGGCCCGCUGUCACCUGUGUCGCCUCCAGGCCUCUCCCCGCCCAUGUCUCCCCACGCCUCCUCAGGUCCCCACAGCAGCGUGGCCACACAUUUGAUGGCCUCAGGGCACCAAAGUGGAAGCGCUCAGAUGUCCUGAGGCUUGGGCCCGACGGAGGUGUGCCCGUUACACCACACCUCACGCACUGGCUCCUCUCAGUGCCUGCUUCACUCUGUCUCAUCAGCAUCCCCCUUGAUACCGCCUCCCCCACCCGCCCAAAGUUCACCCACGCCCCCCGUCCUGCUGGCCACCACCUUGUUCCUGGCCAUGUCCUCAUUUUGGCUGUGGUCAUCUGCCUGCAGUCUCUUCCCUGUGAGACCUCAGUCGGACCAGGUGCCAGCCUGCUCUGAGCUCUCCAGAGCGCAGGUGGAGGCCAUGGUCUACACUGACCCUCGGGCCUGUCACCGGGAGCGGGUCAUGGCUUCAAAUGGUCCGGUUCUUGGCGUUUUGAACAAAUAACUGGACAAAACGCCCAGCAAGGCAAGGAAAGAAUGAAGCAAUAGAAGAAGAAAACAGCGGUUUAUUGACAGUGGAAUCCACUCCACAGUGCGGGAGUGGCCGAGGGCAGCAGCUCAAGCGCCGGGACACAGGACCUUCUUGGGUACAGACACCCCUGCAGGUCCCCCAUCGGCCACUUCACAGUGCUGCAGGAAAGCGGUCAGAGGCAGGGUGAGUGACCAAGUUAUACUUCUAUGCACACGGAGACUCCUCCGGGAUCAGUCUGAUGGGUGCGGACGGUGGCCGUUCAGAGGCUGGAGAGAAGUUACCAAGCUGCAAACCCGCAGUCGUCAGAUUUGUUGCAGACAGCCAGUUCCCAUCUGCCACAGGAGAGGUGAGCCGUUCGCAAAGGGAGUAGCCUCUGGUCCUUUUGUUACUUAGGAGUGGAAAGUUAGGGUUUCCCUUCAAUUCAGUUCUAGAAAGUCGGUGUGAAGCAGCCUGUUUCCCUGCCUCCAGACCCUGAUCUCCUGCCUCAGGCCCACAGGUGCCGCCCCACCCCGAACCCCACUGGCCCCUUGUCUCCUUGCUCUUCCUCAGAAGGCCAAAGUUCCUGUCUGGGCCUGCUCCCUGGGCGGGGACAUGGGGACGGGCUCUGCUCAGCUCAUGGCUGCACCCCCAGGGUCCAGAAGGUGCUUGGGCCCCAAGCACCGAUGCCACAGAAGCUUGGCAAACGUGGAAGUGGACUCCUCACUGGGCAGUGCCCCUGCCUCUCAGGCACCUAUUCUGGAACAGCUUAUUUUUCUAUUAAGGACCAGUUUCUGUAUAAUUACUUGGCUCUGCCUUUCAUCCAUUGCUUCAGGUAAGGCAGUGAGUUCAGGCCGGGCAUGGUGGUAAUCCUAACACUGUAGUCCUCGCACUAUGGGAAGCUGAGGUGAGCGGAUUACUUGAGGUCAGGAGUUCGAAACAAGCCUGGACAACAUGGUGAAACUUCAUCUCUACUAACAAUACAAACAAAUUAGCCGGGUGUGGCAGUGGACACCUGUAAUCCCAGCUCGAGAGGCUAAGACAGGAGAAUUGCUUGAGCCUGGGAGGCAGAGGUUGCAGUGAGCCAAGAUCGUGCCACUGCACUCUAGCCUGGGCGACAGAGCAAGACUGUCUCAAAAACAAAACCAAGCAAAAGAGGUUAUAAUUUGCCAAAAUUAACUUUUGUAUCAUCUAAAGUUUUCUUCUGCUUAGACAUGGCCUCAUUAAAAGAUGCAGAUGCUGUUGGGAUGAGCAUGAAGUUUCCCUGUGGGGCUGUGGGCAGCGUGGACGUCAGCCAGCACUGUACGGACAGCUGUGACCAGAGAUUGGAGAUGACCUCCCUGCCCUUUUCCACCCCUCACCAGUCCACUGUGAGAAGCCGGGUUGAUUUUGCAGGUUAGAUAGAGGUCACCACCUGGCCACCCUCAGCCGGGUUGAUUCUGCUGGUUAAAUAAGGCCAUCACCUGGCCACUCUCAGCCGGGUUGAUUGUGUGGGUUAGAUAGAGGCUGUCACCCGCCACCCUCAGCCAGAGCAUCUGUGGGCACCUGUGCAUAGUCAGUGCUCAGUAAAUAUUUGCUUGAAUUUUCUGGUGGGAGACGCGUCUUCCAUGUUUGGAUGGGAGCCCCUUCUCUGGCCUCUGUGCCUCCGAGAGCUGAUUUGUGGCCGUGGCUUUCCUUUAUGUUGGCUGUUGUUCCACAGAAGCUUCCGUGGCUGUUACACAGAAAGCCGCUGUUGGUCAAGGUGUGCCAUGGGAAGCGAUAAAGACGGUCCUGGAAAGUCCUGACACACGCCAUGUGUCACCCACCCACACGCCCCAUCCCCACCACAAAACCCCCUCGUGGUGCUGAGUCAUCACUGCCAGGAGGCCCCUGCCCUCCCACCUGCCACGCUUAGCCUGGUUAACGCCUGUUUUACAAUGGCUCCCAGGUGCGUGGGUCCCAGAUGGAGAAUCAGAAUCCCUUGGGCAUCACCGGUCGGGGCACAUCCCUGUCCCUCUGCUUGCAAAGCCAGGCUAGCUGCUACCAGGAAUCAUAUCGAGAGCUCUUCAGACACUUUGUCAGAACGCUUAAAGGGGGGUGAAGUUCUCAGGAGGACACUGGGGUGUCCUGAUGGUCGACAGGAGAUGCCUUCCAGGCUGCAGUCAGUGCAGACGAUAUGCCAAUUUCAGGUGGAAAAACGCGUUCUGGAUACCAGGUUCAGAUCUGCAAUUGUCCAUCCCAGUGAUCAUUUGCGUUACACGUACUUGAGGGAGGUUCUGAGAUGCCCGUUUGGGGUUCUGUGGAUGUACCCUGUUCCUUGACGUCCUAAGAAGUGUUCUUGACUCUGAGGUUUAGAAAACGACAGUGACUCCCUCCUGAGCUCUGGUGGAUAUCCUGUGUCCUGGAAGAUGGGACAUCUUCUACCCUCUGUCAGUCCUGGGGGUGACUGGGAACAGGGAGGCUGAGCAGAAUUCCUGGAUCUGGGUCGGGCUUGUUCAAGAGGGCGGGGUGGGCCUCCCUAGAGCCGGCGGCCCCUGCCCGUUCCCCAGCAAGACGAAGACCGGCCCCCAUGUGUUGGCUUCAGUCCUGAAUCUGUGCAAAUGUGCCUCGUGUGAAGGGAAAGAGCCUCCUGAAAUCACCAAAGAGCAGUUCCUCAGGGCCUCUGGGUGCCGUGGCCGCGGAGCAGUCGUGGUGGAACCGGCCAGCUGUGGACCUGCCCUGCGAAUCGGCAGAGGCCUCCGAGGUGAAGACGGAAGCCCCGUGAACCAACCCGAGGCUGGAGCCCAGACGCUGCUCCUAUCCACUUGCCUGUUUCACUUCUCGCUGCUACUGAGAGAGGGAGAUGGAACCUUCCAGGGACCUUGUCCUCACUGGAAACUCAGACGGGGUGGCACUGGGAAACCAUGUCUGUUUCAUUGCUGGUAUAACCAGGCUUUUCAAGAUGUGACUUCACACCGAGGGACACGAGUAGGGCUUGCUUGCCCGUUUUCUGUGUGUGCAGGCCCGGUAAAGAGAUGCUUUUCCGGUCAGGGUUCCCCGGGUGGAGCCUCGGAGUCUCCGGUUGGCUCUCAGGAAGAGGGCAGGUCAGGGGUUGGACGGGGUAAAUGGACCCGGAAACCUGCUUUUCUGUGGCAAACAGGGCCAAGGGCCGGUGAAGCUCUAAAGACUAAACGUUGCGUGUGUGUGAAGCAGACUGCAGGUCUCCUGAGGCCUUUUUUGGGGUAAUCACACCAGUAUUUAAAGAAGAGUUUUCUUGAAGCAUCUGAUUUUGUGCCUAGUAAUGACACAGCACCAUUUCCGGGAAGUAGGAGCGAUCCACGUGUGGGGUGAAAACCCGUCUUCCGUUCCUCUUGCCUGAAUCUGGGUGUGGAAUGAAUGGUGCUGUUUUCCCCCCACAGGGCCGGGGGGGUCUUUUGGGAACAGGCCUCCUGCUUUCCUGUUUGCAGCGGGUCGGGGGGACCUUCCUUCGGAGGGCAGCGCCUUGCGGAGUGGACUUGCCCGGGUCCGCUUAGCCUUCCAAAGCGAUGUGCGGAGCCUACUGGAGGCGUUUUCACAUAUUUGAAAAUAAUGGCCCGUAUUUCUCAUGCUGUACUUAAAAAAAAAAUGACUUCUUAAACAAAGGUAUUCAGU
This 5558-nucleotide long non-coding RNA is filed under the name Saimiri boliviensis boliviensis (Bolivian squirrel monkey). RNAcentral's name for it is "lncRNA (ENSSBOG00000036698.1)". The record is from RNAcentral. Lineage: Eukaryota; Metazoa; Chordata; Mammalia; Primates; Cebidae.